AAGGCACUAAUAAAAUUGAUAUUAUACUGCCUUGUCAAGGCAGAAUUGUAGGUUAAACCCCUGCGUGCCUUG
RNAcentral lists this transfer RNA (72 nucleotides) under Hiodon tergisus (mooneye). Its description in RNAcentral is "tRNA-Asp". It matches the Rfam family "tRNA". Rfam says of the family: Transfer RNA (tRNA) molecules are approximately 80 nucleotides in length. Their secondary structure includes four short double-helical elements and three loops (D, anti-codon, and T loops). Lineage: Eukaryota; Metazoa; Chordata; Actinopteri; Hiodontiformes; Hiodontidae. The record is from RNAcentral.